This 103-nucleotide microRNA precursor is filed under the name Marmota monax (woodchuck). The record is from RNAcentral. Lineage: Eukaryota; Metazoa; Chordata; Mammalia; Rodentia; Sciuridae.
AAUGGGAUAGCUGGGUCAAAUGGUGGUUCCAUUCCCAAUUUUCUGAGUAAUUUCCAUACCACUUUCCAUAAUGGUUACAUCAGUUUUCAGUCCCACCAGCAAU